UUAUUUUUGUAUCUUAUACCCGC
This 23-nucleotide non-coding RNA is filed under the name Arabidopsis thaliana (thale cress). Lineage: Eukaryota; Viridiplantae; Streptophyta; Magnoliopsida; Brassicales; Brassicaceae. The record is from RNAcentral.